CUGGGUGACGAGCGGCGGACGGGUGAGUAAUGUCUGGGAAACUGCCUGAUGGAGGGGGAUAACUACUGGAAACGGUAGCUAAUACCGCAUAACGUCUUCGGACCAAAGAGGGGGACCUUCGGGCCUCUUGCCAUCAGAUGUGCCCAGAUGGGAUUAGCUAGUAGGUGAGGUAAUGGCUCACCUAGGCGACGAUCCCUAGCUGGUCUGAGAGGAUGACCAGCCACACUGGAACUGAGACACGGUCCAGACUCCUACGGGAGGCAGCAGUGGGGAAUAUUGCACAAUGGGCGCAAGCCUGAUGCAGCCAUGCCGCGUGUAUGAAGAAGGCCUUCGGGUUGUAAAGUACUUUCAGCGAGGAGGAAGGCAUUGUGGUUAAUAACCGCAGUGAUUGACGUUACUCGCAGAAGAAGCACCGGCUAACUCCGUGCCAGCAGCCGCGGUAAUACGGAGGGUGCAAGCGUUAAUCGGAAUUACUGGGCGUAAAGCGCACGCAGGCGGUCUGUCAAGUCGGAUGUGAAAUCCCCGGGCUCAACCUGGGAACUGCAUUCGAAACUGGCAGGCUAGAGUCUUGUAGAGGGGGGUAGAAUUCCAGGUGUAGCGGUGAAAUGCGUAGAGAUCUGGAGGAAUACCGGUGGCGAAGGCGGCCCCCUGGACAAAGACUGACG
This 665-nucleotide ribosomal RNA is filed under the name Buttiauxella sp. 110518_136_C_A6. RNAcentral describes it as "bacterial SSU rRNA". It matches the Rfam family "Bacterial small subunit ribosomal RNA", at positions 84 to 745 of the family's 1533-position model. RNAcentral also lists the same sequence under 2 other names. The record is from RNAcentral. Lineage: Bacteria; Pseudomonadati; Pseudomonadota; Gammaproteobacteria; Enterobacterales; Enterobacteriaceae.